Molecule: ribosomal RNA, 466 nt
Filed under: Salamandrella keyserlingii (Siberian salamander)
Lineage: Eukaryota; Metazoa; Chordata; Amphibia; Caudata; Hynobiidae
Description: partial 16S ribosomal RNA
Rfam family: Bacterial large subunit ribosomal RNA
Source: RNAcentral
UUGUCUUUUAAAUAAAGACCAGUAUGAAUGGCAAGACGAAAGUUUAACUGUCUCCCUAAAUUAAUCAAUGAAAUUGAUCUUCCCGUGCAGAAGCGGGAAUAAAAUUAUAAGACGAGAAGACCCUAUGGAGCUUUAAAUAUAUGAUCAAUUGCAUAAUAUUAACCCCGAAAGAUAUAAAGUAAAGUAAAGCACUAUGAUCAGAAUUUUAGGUUGGGGCGACCACGGAGAAAAAUUUAACCUCCGAGAUGAAAAGAACAUCUUAAUUUAUGAAUUACAAUUCUAAAAAAUAAAAUAUUUAACAUAAUUGAUCCAAUAUAUUGAUCAACGGACUAAGUUACCCUAGGGAUAACAGCGCAAUCCUUUCCAAGAGUUCCUAUCGACGAAUGGGUUUACGACCUCGAUGUUGGAUCAGGACACCCCAAUGGUGCAGCCGCUAUUAAAGGUUCGUUUGUUCAACGAUUAAAGU